GCAAUGGUGGUUCAGUGAUAGAAUUCUUGCCUUCCAUGCAGGAAACUCUGGUUCGAUUCCCGGCCAAUGCA
Molecule: transfer RNA, 71 nt
Filed under: Loxodonta africana (African savanna elephant)
Lineage: Eukaryota; Metazoa; Chordata; Mammalia; Proboscidea; Elephantidae
Rfam family: tRNA
About the family: Transfer RNA (tRNA) molecules are approximately 80 nucleotides in length. Their secondary structure includes four short double-helical elements and three loops (D, anti-codon, and T loops). Further hydrogen bonds mediate the characteristic L-shaped molecular structure. tRNAs have two regions of fundamental functional importance: the anti-codon, which is responsible for specific mRNA codon recognition, and the 3' end, to which the tRNAs corresponding amino acid is attached (by aminoacyl-tRNA synthetases). tRNAs cope with the degeneracy of the genetic code in two manners: having more than one tRNA (with a specific anti-codon) for a particular amino acid; and 'wobble' base-pairing, i.e. permitting non-standard base-pairing at the 3rd anti-codon position.
Source: Rfam by way of RNAcentral